RNAcentral lists this ribosomal RNA (517 nucleotides) under uncultured bacterium. RNAcentral's name for it is "bacterial SSU rRNA". It matches the Rfam family "Bacterial small subunit ribosomal RNA", at positions 359 to 896 of the family's 1533-position model. The record is from RNAcentral.
CCCGAGGUAUAGGGGGGAACCCUGACGCAGCACGCCGCGUGGAGGAUGAAGUCCCUUGGGACGUAAACUCCUUUCGAUCGGGACGAUAAUGACGGUACCGGAAGAAGAAGCCCCGGCUAACUUCGUGCCAGCAGCCGCGGUAAUACGAGGGGGGCAAGCGUUGUUCGGAAUUAUUGGGCGUAAAGGGUGCGUAGGUGGUUCGGCAAGUCUUGUGUGAAAUCUUCAGGCUCAACUUGAAGUCUGCACAAGAAACUGCCGGGCUUGAGUAUGGGAGAGGUGAGUGGAAUUUCCGGUGCAGCGGUGAAAUGCGUAGAUAUCGGAAGGAACACCUGUGGCGAAAGCGGCUCACUGGACCAUUACUGACACUGAGGCACGAAAGCUAGGGGAGCAAACAGGAUUAGAUACCCUGGUAGUCCUAGCCCUAAACGAUGAUCGCUUGGUGUGGCGGGUAUCCAACCCUGCCGUGCCGUAGCUAACGCGUUAAGCGAUCCGCCUGGGGAGUACGGUCGCAAGGCUG